This 490-nucleotide ribosomal RNA is filed under the name uncultured bacterium. RNAcentral describes it as "partial 16S ribosomal RNA". It matches the Rfam family "Bacterial small subunit ribosomal RNA", at positions 30 to 507 of the family's 1533-position model. The record is from RNAcentral.
AUUGAACGCUGGCGGCAGGCCUAACACAUGCAAGUCGAACGGUAACAGGAAGCAGCUUGCUGCUUUGCUGACGAGUGGCGGACGGGUGAGUAAUGUCUGGGAAACUGCCCGAUGGAGGGGGAUAACUACUGGAAACGGUAGCUAAUACCGCAUAACGUCGCAAGACCAAAGAGGGGGACCUUAGGGCCUCUUGCCAUCGGAUGUGCCCAGAUGGGAUUAGCUAGUAGGUGGGGUAACGGCUCACCUAGGCGACGAUCCCUAGCUGGUCUGAGAGGAUGACCAGCCACACUGGAACUGAGACACGGUCCAGACUCCUACGGGAGGCAGCAGUGGGGAAUAUUGCACAAUGGGCGCAAGCCUGAUGCAGCCAUGCCGCGUGUAUGAAGAAGGCCUUCGGGUUGUAAAGUACUUUCAGCGGGGAGGAAGGGAGUAAAGUUAAUACCUUUGCUCAUUGACGAUACCCGCAGAAGAAGCACCGGCUAACUCCGUG